RNAcentral lists this ribosomal RNA (921 nucleotides) under Triticum aestivum (bread wheat). RNAcentral describes it as "partial small subunit ribosomal RNA". Lineage: Eukaryota; Viridiplantae; Streptophyta; Magnoliopsida; Poales; Poaceae. The record is from RNAcentral.
AUGGAACUUUCUGACUUUUGCCGGGUCUGUGCGACGGAACGGGAGGAUACUUUCCACGUCUUCUGUAGAUGCCCGAGAGCAGUAUCAUUAUGGCAAGCUAUGGUGGAGCAUUGGAACUUGCCGGAGAUCCGACGAGUCAAGCCCACGGAUGAGGAAUGGCUCUUCGAUAUGUUGCAUGGGCUGGGCGACAACGAUCGCAUGAGAGUCUUCAUGGUGCUGUGGCGUAGCUGGCACGUCCGGAACAAGAUCGUCCAUGACAAACCACCGCCCUCGGUGGAAGCUUCACGUCGGUUCCUGCUAAGCUACGAGAAGUCUCUUUUGGAUAUCCAGCAAUUCCCGGACGAUGAUAUUGUGAAAGGUAAAAUGGUGAUAAACUUUGACAGCCGUAGUGCAUCGACAACAAGUACUGUACCUACACCACAACCUCCCGCUUGCUGGGUUCCACCUGCAGCUGGCCAAGUGAAGCUAAAUGUUGACGGCUCCUUCAUCGAAGCUAGUGGUGAAGCUGGAGUAGGUAUGAUCCUCCGGGAUAGUUCAGGGACCAUCGUCUUCUCGGCAUGCAGGUCCAUUUUAUCUUGCUCGGGACCAUUACAAGCAGAACUCAUGGCAUGCUUGGAAGGACUCAACCUUGCGCUGCAAUGGUCUUCGCUGCCGGUGGACGUAGAGAUGGACUGUCAAUAUGCCGUCAAACUCAUUAAAUCUGAGACACAAGAUAGGUCACCACAUGCGAUGAUAGUGCAGGAAGUGAAACGUCUCCUAGGUGAAAGGGAUAGCUCUAUUGCUCACAUUAGUAGGAAUCAAAAUUCUGUUAGUCAUAGAUUAGCCACGUUUGGCCGUGUAGAGGCUAGGACUGCAGUUUGGUUGAGGUCAGGCCCUACGGAUGUACCCCAACUUUGUAUGGACGACCUGGUUCCCCAUUGA